RNAcentral lists this microRNA (23 nucleotides) under Callorhinchus milii (elephant shark). RNAcentral describes it as "Cmi-Mir-1-P3_5p* (star (passenger))". The record is from RNAcentral. Lineage: Eukaryota; Metazoa; Chordata; Chondrichthyes; Chimaeriformes; Callorhinchidae. RNAcentral also lists the same sequence under 35 other names.
ACAUACUUCUUUAUAUGCCCAUA